This 941-nucleotide ribosomal RNA is filed under the name uncultured Acinetobacter sp. Its description in RNAcentral is "bacterial SSU rRNA". It matches the Rfam family "Bacterial small subunit ribosomal RNA", at positions 56 to 991 of the family's 1533-position model. Lineage: Bacteria; Pseudomonadati; Pseudomonadota; Gammaproteobacteria; Moraxellales; Moraxellaceae. The record is from RNAcentral.
UGCAGUCGAGCGGAGAUGAGGUGCUUGCACCUUAUCUUAGCGGCGGACGGGUGAGUAAUGCUUAGGAAUCUGCCUAUUAGUGGGGGACAACAUUCCGAAAGGAAUGCUAAUACCGCAUACGUCCUACGGGAGAAAGCAGGGGAUCUUCGGACCUUGCGCUAAUAGAUGAGCCUAAGUCGGAUUAGCUAGUUGGUGGGGUAAAGGCCUACCAAGGCGACGAUCUGUAGGGGGUCUGAGAGGAUGAUCCGCCACACUGGGACUGAGACACGGCCCAGACUCCUACGGGAGGCAGCAGUGGGGAAUAUUGGAUAAUGGGGGGAACCCUGAUCCAGCCAUGCCGCGUGUGUGAAGAAGGCCUUAUGGUUGUAAAGCACUUUAAGCGAGGAGGAGGCUACUGAGACUAAUACUCUUGGAUAGUGGACGUUACUCGCAGAAUAAGCACCGGCUAACUCUGUGCCAGCAGCCGCGGUAAUACAGAGGGUGCGAGCGUUAAUCGGAUUUACUGGGCGUAAAGCGUGCGUAGGCGGCUUUUUAAGUCGGAUGUGAAAUCCCCGAGCUUAACUUGGGAAUUGCAUUCGAUACUGGGAAGCUAGAGUAUGGGAGAGGAUGGUAGAAUUCCAGGUGUAGCGGUGAAAUGCGUAGAGAUCUGGAGGAAUACCGAUGGCGAAGGCAGCCAUCUGGCCUAAUACUGACGCUGAGGUACGAAAGCAUGGGGAGCAAACAGGAUUAGAUACCCUGGUAGUCCAUGCCGUAAACGAUGUCUACUAGCCGUUGGGGCCUUUGAGGCUUUAGUGGCGCAGCUAACGCGAUAAGUAGACCGCCUGGGGAGUACGGUCGCAAGACUAAAACUCAAAUGAAUUGACGGGGGCCCGCACAAGCGGUGGAGCAUGUGGUUUAAUUCGAUGCAACGCGAAGAACCUUACCUGGGCCUUGACAUACUA